This 166-nucleotide small nuclear RNA is filed under the name Carlito syrichta (Philippine tarsier). RNAcentral describes it as "U12 minor spliceosomal RNA (ENSTSYG00000023364.2)". It matches the Rfam family "U12 minor spliceosomal RNA". Rfam says of the family: Although the U12 sequence is very divergent from that of U2, the two are functionally analogous. Lineage: Eukaryota; Metazoa; Chordata; Mammalia; Primates; Tarsiidae. The record is from Rfam by way of RNAcentral.
AUGCCUUAAACUUAAUGAAUAAGGUAAAUAAUGAGUAAGGAAAAUAAUGAUUCUGGGUGAUGCCCAAAUCCUCACUGCUAAUAGAGACGAAUUUUUGUGCGGGUAAAGGUUGCCCCUAAGAUGACCUGCCUAUUUUGUGGGAUGCCUGGGAGUCAUUAUCUGCCUG